CAGAAGCUCGGGGAAUGGAAACGAAUCUUCUCGGAACGGUUAAUAUCAUGUAUGACGGGCAUGGUAUAUUAUUUGUGAGCUUGUCUGCAACAAAGUAAUUGCCAUUACGGACACAAGUUUUUGGAAUGCUUAAUUUUUGGGAACUUGUAGAAGGAACUUGAACGUGCAUGCUUUCCGGACUGUGCCCUUUCUCCAUCUGCUUCGAAGAAGUAAUGACCUUGCAUGAGGACCGGUGGAGCUAUUCAGGAGGGCAACCUGCCAAAGCCAUCACCAGCAAUCAGCGACAUCGCGCCUGACAAAAGUUUUUCAAAUAAAAUAUUUCCACCCAAACGUCACUGCUGGUGCUGAGCUCGCGCGAUCGAAUGUGAAGUUUUUUUGGUGAUCUCAAUGAAAAAGGAUUUUUUUGAACUCACGCUGUACACAACAACAAGCUAUCUGAUCUGCAUGUCUUUUUCGGUGGAGGUGAUUUUUGUUGUUGUUAUUGUUGUGGCUGGCGACGAGAAGGCUCUCAUUUACGCUAGGUAUCUCAUAGACAGAAUGAGCCUGGUUUUUACGCCAAGCUGAUGUUUUCAGCAGCAGUCCGCUGUGGAGAAAAUUCAAGCAGUCUUAGGGGCCUGAAGUUUUUGCUGCUUCUUACCGGAUCGACAGUGGGAAAGAAGGGUGGCAGCGUGCAGUACCUUGUGAAAUGGAGAGACUUUAUCCUCUAUGAGCUUGGGAGUAUGAAGAUAUCAGAUAUCAGUGACGAUCUAUCAGGUGAUUUCAUUUCAUUUUGGGUGAAUUUAUUGAAUGUAUUCUUCAAUGCAUGAAUUUGAAAAUCUCCCUUUUGUUUGCUGUAGAUAUUUUGAUGGUUCGGGGAAUGUUGGGCCCUUUCUCAGAUGACGAAUGUUUGAGGCUGCUGAUGGAGCUUGCACUGCUGUGCAGUGAAAAAUAGAAGUGAAAUAGUCACAAAAGGCACAAUGGAGUUUUACGUGUAAUAGUGCUCCACAUUAUUGUGUCGAGCCCUCUCCGCUGGCAGAAGGAAGUUUUCCUCCUUGAAACGAAAUAGUCUAUUCCUGACUUUCGAAUCAGAAACUGGACAAAGGGGGUUGGGACCGAAGAAUUUCCCUGUGAAGUUCUUUCCUCCAGGUUGGGAUGCUUGCAUGAACGUACAUGGACAAGGCCCACGGGCUCACUACCUGAUUACCUUGACAGGAGGGGAUCGUGCUGCCCGGCAGUUUGUCUCUUCCGCAGAAAAGGGCAUUGAUUAAUCAUGAGCUUACCGCAGAGCACAACGAAAGCAUUGUAGCAUGAAACUAAUUUGUCUGAAUACAAAUCUGCACAAUGGCACAGACGGCUAAUGGAGGUAAAGCAUAGCAUCACCAGCAUUGUAUUCCUGGAAGCAGUGCAAGUUAUAGAUUUAGGUAUCAAUAUUUAUCUAAGCUUUAGCGAAGUCCGGACGCAGUACAUUACUAGUGUGAAAGAUAGAAGAAAAAGCAAUGAUAUCCGUAUAUACCCGGAAAGAGAGGUGAGAGUGGGUGGGAGUAAGUGAAAGCACUUGUACAAGCUAAACAUCUGUGCAACCGGAAAGAGCAGAGAAAAGACUAAAGCAAUUACACAGGCCAUGCGUUUAGCAGUGAGACCCAAACAUCCUUGUAAACCAGAAUGCAGCUUCAGCACACAUUUUCUAUUUCUUCAUGUUGCGCUGCUGUUGCCGUUUCCCAACGAUAUGAUGAGGCUCUCCGUUAUGCUUCUGCUGGUUUUCCUGUGCAGGUAUGUGCUGCCGUAGCUCAGAGAAAUCUUUGGCCAGGGUAGCCAAGAUGGCAUCACCCACAUCCUCCUCUCCUUCAGGUUCACUUGUAGGUUUGGCAUUCAUGCUUGACAUCUCCUUCAGUACUGUGUAGGUCCUCUCCUAUUGGUUUUUGUCUGCCCAUACCAUUUGCACUGCUCAGUGAUGUCGGCGACAGUCGCCUCCAGCUCACCAUUUUCCAUUUUUUCUUUACUUUUUGGAUACGCUGUGUGUCCUUGAGGUAGCAUUUGAGGCCGACCAGUUCUUCUACCUUUGUUUUGCAAACAUUCUUGUCUAGUGUUCAGUGAUCGAACCCAGUCAACGUUGAAGCACCCUUGUUAUUUCUUUCCGUUUCUUUUUAUUCUUGUACACCGCUGCCUGCAACCGUGCAUUUUAAUAGGUUUGCGAGAAUCUCUUUUCACCUGCAGCAACCAGAGUUUGAAAGUACCGACACAAACUGGAAGCAUGCCCAGUUUCCAGACAACUAGCUGCUUCAAAAAUUCUUAUGUCAGAUGAGUGACUGGUUGCGCAGCCGACAUUAUGGUGACAUAAUGUGUCCUUGUAGUUCUGUUUAUUAUUACUUGUAUAUUUCACUGUUCGCGUCAAACUCGGCUAAAGGCCGAGUUUUCCGCAUCCGUAGGAACGCCACCACCCUUCAAGGAUCGUGUGUUUUUUUAUAGCAAUGUAUUUUGGUAUUUGCUUUGACCAUCAGUCCUUGGCUGAUGCUGGUCAUACCUUCAACAUGUUGACGCGUUUUUCAAGGCAUUCAAUAUACGUAGGCCGCAAGAUUCUAUCUUUUCAUACCGAAUACCGAUGGCUAUUGUAGUGCUUCCCCACUAGCUGCGCAAGUGUCACAUCUGGCUGCGGCCAACUACCCUUUAA
Sycon ciliatum is the source of this 2647-nucleotide long non-coding RNA. RefSeq lists it as uncharacterized. Lineage: Eukaryota; Metazoa; Porifera; Calcarea; Leucosolenida; Sycettidae. The record is from RefSeq and is a predicted model, not a curated record. The transcript is spliced from 2 exons.